RNAcentral lists this long non-coding RNA (2424 nucleotides) under Helianthus annuus (common sunflower). RNAcentral describes it as "hypothetical non coding rna". Lineage: Eukaryota; Viridiplantae; Streptophyta; Magnoliopsida; Asterales; Asteraceae. The record is from RNAcentral.
UUCAAAUCAGUCUUGUCCAUUGGAUCAUGCUGAAAAUAAAUCUUGACCCUUUAAACUUCUAUUUUUAACUGCUAUUGUGGCAGUUCUGGGCGGUUCUGUACGCCCCUCAUUUUCCGGCCCAUCUUUCCCACUAAACACGGUUGCUACAAAAUUGGGACGUGGGUAAACUGCAGUUGCCAACCGAUCUUAUAUAACAUAUUCGCCUCCAUACAUGAUAUCAUAUAUACACAGAAACACAAAGAUGGCACCGUUAUUCAAUCGCGAUCUCAAACCUACAUUCAAGCGUUCUUCAUUCGCGAUCUGUCGAGACCUAAAUUUCCCGUUGUUGCUAAAUGUUUGAUCAGAGAAAUUAGGUUAGAUCAGAGAAAUUUGAAACCGUCUGGAGCAGAAGAAACCAAAAUGGCUCUUUCCAAAGCCAAGGCAAGGCUGAAUUAGUGGUUGUGUCACUUGCUUAUUGUUAUUGCUUUUGAUAAGAAGUCGAAACAGAGAUGGAAGAAUAUGAACAAGAGCAAGAGCAAGACAUACCUAAUGAUAAUGGAUUGAAAUCAGCGGGGGACAAUAGUUUUGGGCUGGAUUUCUCUUUACCAGUAGUUAAAUGAUACCUAGCAAUCACACUCUCCGUGUAGACUUCCAUGGUCUUUUAUGAGAAUUCUGGGUUGCAAAAAGUGUAUGCCACAGUGUGGUAUUGUCAGGAAAAGCAAGUGUUGGAGCUGCUGCACUACUAAAAAGAGCGGUUAGUAAAUUUAAUUUAACCUUACGUUCAAUUCGCUUAGCAUGAUAAGCAGAAGUGGAAAAUGGACGGGUUGGGUAACGGGUCAUUUCUAUUACAUGUGUUUAUUUCCUUCAAGUACAUUAUGAAAAUGUGUGUUAUAUUGGUCAAAUAGAGAUAGGAAAAUGGAUGGGUGGGCAGAGUCAAACGGCUAAUUUUUUUAAUAUGUGUGUUAAUUUGGUCAAGUACAAUAUGGAAACUGGUCCAACUAGCUAACAAAUUUGUUUGGCUCAACAAUUACUUUUCAUCUCCUAACUACAUUGAAUGAGCUCAUGAUGCUUUCAAAGGAUAUGCUAUUAAGCAAUACGAUCCAAAAAGUGGUUUCUAACCUUUUUAUAAAACCCAAACUAUUCUUUAAAAUUUGCUAAUCUGAUUAUCUCCUUGAGUAUUUAUAAGAGUUUAAAUCUUUUUAAUUUAGAAGGUAUGUCCUACUUUUGGUGUACCAUUAAUAAAGAGGAUUCUUGAUAAUUUUGCCCCAAAUGAGUUUUUCCCAGGCCCUCUUGCUGAAGUGGUGCUUGAAGCACUGGAGUCAGGGGACAGUUUCUCUGGAUUUUUUUUUCUUACUUAUGCUUUAAACAUUUAAAAUAACCAGAAGUUGCAUGUUCAUUGCUUUUAAGAUAUUCAAUAUUUUUUCAAAAAUUAUGUACUCGAUAUUUAAACUGUCUCUUUAUAAUUCUUUUUCAUAAAGCAUUGUGAUACUUGAUUCCAUGUUCAGCACUUGCUUCGUAAGCUUGAAAGCGAGUCAUGCAUCGGAAAGACGUUAAUCUCUUUACAAGUCAUUUAUAGCAAUCUGUACAUACUGUAACCAUAUUCCUCUUUUUCUAUCUAUAAUGCUUCUAUACCUGUGUUGCAUCUAGACUAAGUACCUUUACAUUUGUAAGUGGAUUGUGAACUUUCAACUGAUGCUAAGGUUAUGAAAUUCGUGCCAUCACAAUCAGAUUGCCAUGCAAUGGAUCAGAAUUCGGCUCGUGGUUCAAUCGUUUCAACUAAUUAAAUUAUAUUAUCUGCUAUAUACUACUGCAUAAUCUUUUGGAUAAAAUAUAUGCUUGACUAACUACUCAUUAAUUUACUCUAAUAGUUAAUACUGCAUACAUCUUUAAUUGUUGUGUUUCUUUAAAUAAGUUAUUCUAGGUUAUAUUGAAUAGAUUUCAACUAUACAUGUGAAAUGAGUUAUUGCCAAUAUAAAACUCAUAAAGUAGAGUUAAUUUAUGCUGCCAAAAUCGCGAUGCAGUUAAUAUAGAUUAUCUUUGGUUGUGAAAAUGAGAAAGAGAGAUAGAAAAGGAGAAAAGAAAAAGGAGGAGUGAUCCCAGACAACCUCAAUAUAGAUUAUCUUUGUUUGUUACGUUGUUAGCGUAACCCGUCCACCGGACGGGUAUUAAACUAGUUAUUCAGGGUCCAAUUAAGCGUGGAGAGAUUUGAAGAAAAGCUUCAGGAAGCAUUGAGAAUAAAUCCACAUAAUUAUACACUUGUCACAUAUUCUUCUAAAACAAAUUGGGUCCAAGAGCAAAUGAGGUUUGGCUCUCAUCUUUGGUAAGAUGUAACCAUUUGUUAAGUUUUGUUGAACUUUCUUAAGUAUGAUUGAAGCACAUACCACCAUUAGCCAGAGAAUCUGGGGAGUGCAAACCAUCAUAACUCAAAACCUGCAAAUGAAUUGA